UUUUCACUGCCAAACCUAGCUCCAAACAACUCCUUCCAUCCGCAGCGAACAUACGGAGAGGGAGAAACGCGGAGAGAGAGAGAUGCGGAGUGGAGAGAGAGAGAAUCGUGGAGGAAGAGAGAGAGAAUCCCAGAUGUGAGACGCCCACCGGCCACCGGCAGACCGCCACCACCCCUCAACCCUCAGUGUCUCUCUCGCGCUCUUUCUCUCUCACCACCAGACCUCAACCGCCCCUCACUGUCUCUCUCUCUCACCGCUAGACCGCAACCACCCCUGACGGAGUUCUGACAUCUGAGAAUCUGAGUUAUAUGUUCCUCUGUUCUCUAAAGGGUGAAGUCCGAAUCUCUCAUUCUUCGACUUCUAGAGAUUAGAGAACUAUCUUCUCUGUUCUCGCCGGACAACGGUGACCCCGUCGACGCAAAAACAGAGGACAGAUCCGUAGAUCUGGAUUGACGAAACCCCAGUUGUGUGUGGUAAGCGAUCACUAGAUCCAAUCGCCGUCGACUUCGGUGUUGGCUGGUGCAGUCUGCUCAACAGCUCGUCGUUGGCUGCCUGGCCUGAGUUGCUCCAUCGCCACCAGAUCCGAGCCUCCGACACGACGCCAAAACAAUGAUUUCAACUUACAGUUUCAGAGGCAGCAUAGAGCUUGGAGCUAUCAGUAGCGAUGAUACUGGAAAAAGGUUGUUGGUAUAUAGUCGUGUGUUUGAAUGUCUUGAAAAUGUAAUUAAGCAGCCCAUAGCUGGAUUCAAUUAUUUGAACGACUGAGCAGACAUGAAUCUUAUUUCCUGGACAUUGAAAAACUAAAAAGGUGUCUUGAUAAACGUGAGGUGCCAUAAUGUGUCAUAAGAAUCAAAUUAUUCAAAUAAAGAAAUAAUUUUUUUUUGGCA
This is a long non-coding RNA of Ipomoea triloba (trilobed morning glory), 887 nucleotides long. RefSeq lists it as uncharacterized. The transcript has 2 exons. The record is from RefSeq and is a predicted model, not a curated record. NCBI's taxonomy places the organism in Eukaryota, Viridiplantae, Streptophyta, Magnoliopsida, Solanales, Convolvulaceae.